GUUGAAGAGCUGGUGUGAAACUUCACACUUCCUGCAUGCAAAAAAAAUGUUGCAUCAGAAGUCAGCGAUGGUUCCACAGACAACAAGGGAAGAAAAUAGUUGUUAAUGAGUGGCUGCUAAGGGAAGAGUUUGGCUUUGCAAUGUCCAGCUAUCAUGACAGAUAUGGUAUAACUGCAGGUGUAGCAGUUCUUAAGGGAAGAGAGGUGGGCCACACUGUUUUUAUCAUCAGCUUCUUUCUAUAAAAGCACUACUAAUGGAACAGAACACUGAAGUGACAAUAUAGAAGAGGACUUUCUUGUCUGGUGCUGCAGAGGAAGAUCUACCUUUCUGCCCUGAAUUCUACUAGGCGUUCUACACUUUUGGUCAGAAACAAGAAACUUUCAGGGGUGGGAUGCUGAGGAAGAUUUGUUUUAUUUAAAUAACCUCGAGUUGCUGAAGAAAUCCGGGAAGAUCCUGCUUGAAAGAGAACGUUGUAAAGGGGAGCUUUAAAUCAUGGGAAAUCAUGCACAACAAAUUUCUUUACCAUUGACUCUGGAUUUUGCCACCCUGAAAUCUCCUCAAGCCAAGAGAGGGAACCUGAAAAAGACCACCUAUAGGAACACUUGCACCCUGCCCCUGACCUGGACAUCUUCAACUAUGAAGAAGCUAUUCCUGGCUGCUUCUUGUUUUAGGCUUGAAAACUUCAAGGAUGGGAACUAUGCAGUGUCCUUGGAUAACCUGCUCCAGUGUUCCACCAGCCACAUCUUUUGGAGGCAGCCUUUUUUCUAAAUUCCACUUUGAACCUCCCAAACCUUGAUUUGUGGCUGUGACAGAUCCCUCUUACUAUAUUCAGUGCCUCUUGCCUGAAAAAAAUCUUAGUCUAGGCUCAUCAGCCUUGAUGAAAGGAAAACAGGAAAUCUAGGUUCUGAUGCCUAUCUAAAUUGUAUCCUUUGAUCUGGAGUCUCCACUACUAAAAGUUUUAAUUUCUAGACUUGUAAAUGUUCUGAAAUAAGUUUUUGUCUAACACUGGUUUUUAAAAAAUACUUCUAUAUAUGAAAUUGGUUUUUUCUGUACCUGGCAAUUUUCAGCUGUUCUGGUUUAUGUUCUAAUUUAGAAAUAGCUGCAAAAAAAUAGAAGUAAACAUGAGAUUUAGCAUUCCCUGUUGUGUUUUUCCUUUCCUACUUUAUUCACCAGAAUGUACUAUGUAGAUUGCGGUAGUAAGGAUGAUUUCCUGGAAGCUACUUUUGGAACAUUUUGAAGGUGAUCCUCCUUAGUGCCAAGAGAAGCAAAGUGGUUCUGUGUUGAAAUGUUGAGUGAUUAUAAUAAAAAAAUAAAUCCAGUGUAACUAAAUGUCAGCUUUGUGCAAAUAACAUAAGUAACUUAACGACUCAAAUUCAGAGUUCUUAAUAAGUAAAGAUUUCUAACUCUUCCAUAUUUUAUCUAUUAUAUUAUUGCAUUGUGCUAUUUAAGACAGCAGUGUUCUGUUAUUUUUCUACUAGUCUGACACCUAAUGUGCUUUCCUUUGGGUUGGUAGAAAAAGAUGAUUUUUAUGGCAAUUCACACUUAAAAGAAGAAAAGCUGUCCUUCAUUUUAAUGACUAUUGAGCCAUAUUAUAGAUAUAUUAUGCCUUUUUUAGUUAAACAGAAGAUUUUGAGUUUCCUCUAAUGACACUAGAGACUAAACUCCUCUGUAGAAAGAAGUUUCAGUAAAGUAUCGUGUGGCUUCCAUUUUAGUCUGUAGUUUUCAGAAAGGGUGUUAAUUUUUAUUUUUGCAAUACAAAUAGAAUGCCAGUGCAAUGUUCUUGGUGCUGGCAAAAACUGAUGCUGCCCUUGAAGUACUACACGUGAUCAGUAGAGAGGAAGUACUACCCACGCAUGCAGGGCAAAAAGUUUAAAGCAACUUUUUUGUCAAUAGGAAAAAUGGGUGUCCUCAGAAAUAUGCAUAAGCAAUUUCAUCUGUGAGCUGUAAAAGAACUGAUCAUAGCAACAGGCAUGCGUUAAGGGUUGUAUUUACACUGCGAAAUUUUGGCUUAAAAACUGCAUAAUAAAUGUUGAGGAAGUGGUUUGUGUUCAGCAGCAUGCUAGUGCAGUGAUGCAUCUCCAGAAAAAUGCUGUAGAAAGCAGAGUGUGUCUUUAACUUGAG
Molecule: long non-coding RNA, 2121 nt
Filed under: Anas zonorhyncha (Eastern spot-billed duck)
Lineage: Eukaryota; Metazoa; Chordata; Aves; Anseriformes; Anatidae
Description: lncRNA (ENSAZOG00000000521.1)
Source: RNAcentral